RNAcentral lists this transfer RNA (91 nucleotides) under Nitrospirota bacterium. RNAcentral's name for it is "Nitrospirae bacterium (groundwater metagenome) tRNA-Ser". It matches the Rfam family "tRNA". From Rfam's summary of the family: Transfer RNA (tRNA) molecules are approximately 80 nucleotides in length. Their secondary structure includes four short double-helical elements and three loops (D, anti-codon, and T loops). The record is from RNAcentral. Lineage: Bacteria; Pseudomonadati; Nitrospirota.
GGAGAGGUGUCCGAGCGGCCGAAGGAGCACGACUGGAAAUCGUGUAGGCGUUAAUAGCGUCUCGCGGGUUCAAAUCCCGCCCUCUCCGCCA